GAGAAAUUGAUGAAUAAGAAGAGUAGCACAGGAGCGCGAUUGUAGAGAGUCAGUGGGUGGUGAAAACUGAUUCGCGGCCGGUGUGAAUGGACUUAUGAGAGUCUACUUGAAUCGUUUUUCAAGUAGGACGUGAGAUCCCACGUUACGGGAUGUGUCUUAUGGGCACGCUAAGUGGAAGCAGCAAUGCUUCAAUUAGAGGUGGCAACGCGGUCUAUUCCGUCCUCUGC
This 227-nucleotide non-coding RNA is filed under the name Sporosarcina psychrophila. RNAcentral describes it as "T-box sequence". It matches the Rfam family "T-box leader". From Rfam's summary of the family: Uncharged tRNA acts as the effector for transcription antitermination of genes in the T-box leader family. T-boxes are found upstream of many aminoacyl-tRNA synthetase genes and some amino acid biosynthetic genes usually in Gram-positive bacteria. The anticodon of a specific tRNA base pairs to a specifier sequence within the T-box motif, and the NCCA acceptor tail of the tRNA base pairs to a conserved bulge in the T-box antiterminator hairpin. The record is from RNAcentral. Lineage: Bacteria; Bacillati; Bacillota; Bacilli; Caryophanales; Caryophanaceae.